RNAcentral lists this long non-coding RNA (529 nucleotides) under Mytilus galloprovincialis (Mediterranean mussel). Lineage: Eukaryota; Metazoa; Mollusca; Bivalvia; Mytilida; Mytilidae. The record is from RNAcentral.
CCCCUUUUGUAUAUGAUAUAAGUGAUAUGCAUUUCUAACUGGUAAACCAUAAGUGAUAGAGACCUAGGGUCUUUUGAUUUAAGAUCCUUGGUCCAAAAAAAAAAAAAAUUAGGUCAAGGUCAAAGGUCAAGGUCAAAUUCUAAAUUUUGAUUUUGGCUUAUUUUCACUUAUUUUCAUUAACCUUAUAAGAUAUCGACAAAUUAUUUUUACUAAAUUGUUAGUUGCGACAUGUCGUAACUUAUAAAUUUUGGUUGCAAGGGUGCGUAGACAAUAAACGGGAGUUUUCGCCCCUCUUAUAUUAACAAUUAUGCGUAAAGUGAUAUUACUCAUGAACCAUACAUAUUAAGGAACUAGUGUCUUUUGAUUUGAGAUGUUUAGUCUAUGACCUUGAAAUUGAGGUCAAGGUCAUAGGUUAAUUGGACGUUCUAGAUUUUGACCUUUGCUCGAAAUUCAUAUAUAUAUACAUCAUAAAGCCAUAGGAACUGACAUUUUCAACUGAAUUUUAAUAUUUUCAUUUCAAAAUAGAGCC